Molecule: long non-coding RNA, 371 nt
Organism: Poecile atricapillus (Black-capped chickadee)
Lineage: Eukaryota; Metazoa; Chordata; Aves; Passeriformes; Paridae
Exons: 4
Source: RefSeq, a predicted model, not a curated record
CGCGCGGUGCCCGCCGGGAGUUGUGGUCCCGCCCCUUUCGCCGUUGAUCCCGGAAGUGCCCGGAUGGAGCCGGCGCGAGGCGGCCCCGGGGGGGCUCCCCCCCGGCCUCCCGCGCCCGGCGAGAAACGGAGACCGGAACAGAGCGAGGGGCCGCCCCUGCCCAAGCUGGGUCUCUCCGAGGCCGCUGCGGCCGCUCGGCUCCGGGCGCUGCCGGCACAGCACGACCACGGAUACAGCGGGAACGGGCUGAGGCUCCCCCCGCACUGAGGCCGCGCCCGCCCCUCCCCCACCACCGGCACCAGGAGGAGCCACCGGAGGGGGUGGGGGAGGGGCCGCCCCUCCCCCACCCCCCUUCAAAACCUGCCCCUCCC